UGGAUGAGUGGCGAACGGGUGAGUAACACGUGAGUAACCUGCCCUCUUCUUUGGGAUAACGCCCGGAAACGGGUGCUAAUACUGGAUAUUCACUGAUCUUCGCAUGGGGGUUGGUGGAAAGGUUUUUUCUGGUGGGGGAUGGGCUCGCGGCCUAUCAGCUUGUUGGUGGGGUGAUGGCCUACCAAGGCUUUGACGGGUAGCCGGCCUGAGAGGGUGACCGGUCACAUUGGGACUGAGGUACGGCCCAG
Molecule: ribosomal RNA, 248 nt
Filed under: uncultured bacterium
Lineage: Bacteria
Description: partial 16S ribosomal RNA
Rfam family: Bacterial small subunit ribosomal RNA
Source: RNAcentral